UACAGAGGGGGCAAGCGUUGUUCGGAAUUACUGGGCGUAAAGGGCGCGUAGGCGGCCUGCUAAGUCGAACGUGAAAUCCCCGGGCUCAACCCGGGAACUGCGUCCGAUACUGGUUGGCUUGAAUCCGGGAGAGGGAUGCGGAAUUCCAGGUGUAGCGGUGAAAUGCGUAGAUAUCAGGAAGAACACCGGUGGCGAAGGCGGCUCGCUGGGCCAGUUCUGACACUCAUACGCGAAAGCGUGGGGAGCAAACAGG
This 253-nucleotide ribosomal RNA is filed under the name uncultured bacterium. RNAcentral's name for it is "partial 16S ribosomal RNA". It matches the Rfam family "Bacterial small subunit ribosomal RNA", at positions 524 to 776 of the family's 1533-position model. The record is from RNAcentral.